UGAGAAGUACAGAUCUUUAGGAAAAAUGU
This 29-nucleotide non-coding RNA is filed under the name Mus musculus (house mouse). The record is from RNAcentral. Lineage: Eukaryota; Metazoa; Chordata; Mammalia; Rodentia; Muridae.